GACGAACGCUGGCGGCGUGCUUAACACAUGCAAGUCGAACGGAAAGGCCCUGCUUUUGUGGGGUGCUCGAGUGGCGAACGGGUGAGUAACACGUGAGUAACCUGCCCUUGACUUUGGGAUAACUUCAGGAAACUGGGGCUAAUACCGGAUAGGAGCUCCUGCUGCAUGGUGGGGGUUGGAAAGUUUCGGCGGUUGGGGAUGGACUCGCGGCUUAUCAGCUUGUUGGUGGGGUAGUGGCUUACCAAGGCUUUGACGGGUAGCCGGCCUGAGAGGGUGACCGGCCACAUUGGGACUGAGAUACGGCCCAGACUCCUACGGGAGGCAGCAGUGGGGAAUAUUGCACAAUGGGCGGAAGCCUGAUGCAGCAACGCCGCGUGCGGGAUGACGGCCUUCGGGUUGUAAACCGCUUUCGCCUGUGACGAAGCGUGAGUGACGGUAAUAGGUAAAGAAGCACCGGCUAACUACGUG
Molecule: ribosomal RNA, 468 nt
Filed under: uncultured bacterium
Lineage: Bacteria
Description: partial 16S ribosomal RNA
Rfam family: Bacterial small subunit ribosomal RNA
Source: RNAcentral